Molecule: transfer RNA, 69 nt
Filed under: Rattus norvegicus (Norway rat)
Lineage: Eukaryota; Metazoa; Chordata; Mammalia; Rodentia; Muridae
Rfam family: tRNA
About the family: Transfer RNA (tRNA) molecules are approximately 80 nucleotides in length.
Source: Rfam by way of RNAcentral
GGAGAUCUAGCUCAGUGGUAGAGCGCUUGCCUAGGAAGCGCAAGGCCCUGGGUUCGGUCCCCAGCUCCG